RNAcentral lists this ribosomal RNA (443 nucleotides) under uncultured bacterium. RNAcentral describes it as "bacterial SSU rRNA". It matches the Rfam family "Bacterial small subunit ribosomal RNA", at positions 958 to 1400 of the family's 1533-position model. The record is from RNAcentral.
AACGCGAAGAACCUUACCUACUUUUGACAUCCCGCGAAUCCGGCUGAGAGGCUGGAGUGCCGAAAGGAAUGCGGAGACAGGUGCUGCAUGGCUGUCGUCAGCUCGUGUUGUGAGAUGUUGGGUUAAGUCCCGUAACGAGCGCAACCCUUGUCCUUAGUUACCAGCACGUAAAGGUGGGAACUCUAAGGAGACUGCCGGUGAUGAACCGGAGGAAGGCGGGGACGACGUCAAGUCAUCAUGGCCUUUAUAAGUAGGGCUACACACGUGCUACAAUGGGGCGUACAGAGGGUAGCCAACCCGCGAGGGGGAGCCAAUCUCAGAAAGCGCCUCGUAGUCCAGAUUGAAGUCUGCAAUUCGACUUCAUGAAGUCGGAAUCGCUAGUAAUCGCGAAUCAGCAUUGUCGCGGUGAAUACGUUCCCGGGCCUUGUACACACCGUAGAGAC